Molecule: ribosomal RNA, 459 nt
Filed under: uncultured bacterium
Lineage: Bacteria
Description: partial 16S ribosomal RNA
Rfam family: Bacterial small subunit ribosomal RNA
Source: RNAcentral
CCUACGGGAGGCAGCAGUGAGGAAUAUUGGUCAAUGGGCGCGAGCCUGAACCAGCCAAGUCGCGUGAGGGAAGACAGUCCUAUGGGUUGUAAACCUCUUUUGUCGGGGAGUAAAAUACGCCACGCGUGGCGUUCCGUGAGUACCCGAAGAAAAAGCAUCGGCUAACUCCGUGCCAGCAGCCGCGGUAAUACGGAGGAUGCGAGCGUUAUCCGGAUUUAUUGGGUUUAAAGGGAGCGUAGGCGGAUGAAUAAGUCAGCGGUAAAAUUGUGGGGCUCAACCUUUCCGAGCCGUUGAAACUGUGUUACUUGAGUGAGCGCAAAGUACGUGGAAUGCGUGGUGUAGCGGUGAAAUGCUUAGAUAUCACGAAGAACUCCGAUCGCGAAGGCAGUAUACCGGCGCUCGACUGACGCUCAUGCACGAAAGUGUGGGUAUCGAACAGGAUUAGAUACCCGGGUAGUC